Molecule: transfer RNA, 36 nt
Filed under: Phylloscopus calciatilis
Lineage: Eukaryota; Metazoa; Chordata; Aves; Passeriformes; Phylloscopidae
Also listed under: 1 other name
Description: partial tRNA-Thr
Source: RNAcentral
CUCAACUCUAAUAGUUUAUAAAAACAUUGGUCUUGU